GUGCUCACUUCGGCAGCACAUAUACUAAAAAAUUGGGAGAUUAGCAUGGCUCCUGCCCAAGGAUGACCCGCAAAUUUGUGCCACGCUCCAUAUUUUU
This 97-nucleotide small nuclear RNA is filed under the name Rhinolophus ferrumequinum (greater horseshoe bat). Lineage: Eukaryota; Metazoa; Chordata; Mammalia; Chiroptera; Rhinolophidae. The record is from RNAcentral.